GAAUAUUGGACAAUGGGCGAAAGCCUGAUCCAGCAAUGCCGCGUGAGUGAUGAAGGCCUUAGGGUUGUAAAGCUCUUUUACCCGGGAUGAUAAUGACAGUACCGGGAGAAUAAGCUCCGGCUAACUCCGUGCCAGCAGCCGCGGUAAUACGGAGGGAGCUAGCGUUGUUCGGAAUUACUGGGCGUAAAGCGCACGUAGGCGGCAUAGCAAGUCAGGGGUGAAAUCCCGGGGCUCAACCCUGGAACUGCCCUUGAAACUGCUAAGCUUGAAUCCUGGAGAGGCGAGUGGAAUUCCGAGUGUAGAGGUGAAAUUCGUAGAUAUUCGGAAGAACACCAGUGGCGAAGGCGACUCGCUGGACAGGUAUUGACGCUGAGGUGCGAAAGCGUGGGGAGCAAACAGGA
RNAcentral lists this ribosomal RNA (401 nucleotides) under uncultured bacterium. Its description in RNAcentral is "bacterial SSU rRNA". It matches the Rfam family "Bacterial small subunit ribosomal RNA", at positions 359 to 777 of the family's 1533-position model. The record is from RNAcentral.